GGUUUAUACCCGCAUACUUUGACGUUACUCCCCGAAGAAACACCGGCUAAAUUCGUGCCAGCAGCCGCGGUAAUUCGGAGGGGGCCAGCGUUUAUUGGAAUUAAUUGGCGUAAAACGCGCGUAGGUGGGUAGGUCAGUCAGAUGUGAAAACCCCGGGCUCAACCUGGGAAAUGCACCUGAUACUGCCUGACUUGAGUGCGGUAGAGGGUAGUGGAAUUUCUUGUGUAGGGGGGAAAUGAGUAGAUAUAGGAAGGAACGCCAGUGGCGAAGGCGGGUGCCUGGAUUGAUUCUGACCCUGAGGUGGGAAAGCGUGGGGGGCAAACCGGAUUAGAUACCCUGGUAGUUCCCCCCGUAAACGAUGUUGACUAGCCGUUGAGGACUUAGAUCUUUCAGUGGCGCAGCUAACCUACAAG
RNAcentral lists this ribosomal RNA (413 nucleotides) under uncultured bacterium. RNAcentral describes it as "bacterial SSU rRNA". It matches the Rfam family "Bacterial small subunit ribosomal RNA", at positions 452 to 864 of the family's 1533-position model. The record is from RNAcentral.